Molecule: ribosomal RNA, 465 nt
Filed under: uncultured bacterium
Lineage: Bacteria
Description: partial 16S ribosomal RNA
Rfam family: Bacterial small subunit ribosomal RNA
Source: RNAcentral
CCUACGUGAGGCAGCAGUGGGGAAUAUUGCGCAAUGGGCGAAAGCCUGACGCAGCGACGCCGCGUGAGGGAUGAAGGUCUUCGGAUCGUAAACCUCUGUCAGCAGGGAAGAACGGUCACUGUGCUAAUCAGCAGUGAAUUGACGGUACCUGCAAAGGAAGCACCGGCUAACUCCGUGCCAGCAGCCGCGGUAAUACGGAGGGUGCGAGCGUUAAUCGGAAUUACUGGGCGUAAAGCGCUCGUAGGCGGUAUGUCAAGUCAAGGGUGAAAUCCCCGCGCUCAACGUGGGAACUGCCUUUGAAACUGGCAAACUGGAGUGUGUGAGAGGAUAGUGGAAUGCCAGGUGUAGGAGUGAAAUCCGUAGAUAUCUGGAGGAACAUCAGUGGCGAAGGCGACUAUCUGGCACAUAACUGACGCUGAGGAGCGAAAGCGUGGGUAGCAAACAGGAUUAGAUACCCUGGUAGUC